CAGAUCAGACAAGCGACAUUAUAACCCUAAUACGUUUACAACAGUAGGACUUUGUAGAAAGAUAAGUCGGGAAUCCAUCACUUGCAUCCUUCAACGUCUGUGUAAGUCAGGAAUCCAAACAUGAAGCUCAUCCACACAGCUUUGCUUUUUGUCUGCUGCAUCCUCGUCACACAAGCCAUUGAGAACAAGCUGGGCCAACAUUUGAAUGUGGCCAAACGUGAUGGCCAACAGGAGCAUGUUGAACAGGGACUUAAACCGGAAGCUACACUUAGUUUCCAAUCAAUGCUGGUCAAAAAUGUUAAAGUUAAGGCAGACG
Physella acuta is the source of this 316-nucleotide long non-coding RNA. RefSeq lists it as uncharacterized. Lineage: Eukaryota; Metazoa; Mollusca; Gastropoda; Physidae. The record is from RefSeq and is a predicted model, not a curated record.